Fukomys damarensis (Damara mole-rat) is the source of this 263-nucleotide long non-coding RNA. RefSeq lists it as uncharacterized. The record is from RefSeq and is a predicted model, not a curated record. The transcript has 3 exons. Lineage: Eukaryota; Metazoa; Chordata; Mammalia; Rodentia; Bathyergidae.
CAGCUGGCAGACUCUUCCCACCAGCACUUCCGUUAGCAUACAUAAUUGGAAUGUACUGAAGUCCUUACCAACUGGAAAAAUAAUCCUGAAAUGGGCCAAAUUACGAGAAAUGCAGCUAAAAGAAACCAAUUGGUGCUUAAAAUAUUUUGCCUGAAAAUCUUCUUAGCCACAGCCACAAGUCCACAAGAGAGAAGAUGACGCUUGACAAAAACCUGGUCCAUAAAAAUAAACAAAGGACAGCCCAGAGAAUUGUAGAAGGAAGA